This is a long non-coding RNA of Neopsephotus bourkii (Bourke's parrot), 655 nucleotides long. RefSeq lists it as uncharacterized. The record is from RefSeq and is a predicted model, not a curated record. NCBI's taxonomy places the organism in Eukaryota, Metazoa, Chordata, Aves, Psittaciformes, Psittacidae. The transcript has 3 exons.
AUUUGUCUUAAAAAUCACACAUUUUUAAAGAAGCAUUUUAAAGUUAACAAAGUCUCUGAAUGUCCCUUCAGGAUGAAAGUUUUAAAUUUCACCAUUGUGCUGAAAAGUGGAAUAUGCUUUAGGACUUUGCUGAUUACGGAUCAAAAUGUCUUCAGAAUUGGGCUUUAGUGAAUAAAACAUGAAAAAUAUUACUUGCUCAAUGAAUUAAAAGGAAACUGGGGCUACUAGAAAUGUUGUGUAUGCAUAAGCUAUAAAGGCUGGCUUGUACAGAAGAGAAACUUUUUGAAGAGGGAACUAAAGCACAGUUCUGUGGACAUGACGAAGAUGAUUGCUGAGCUGAAGACAUGCAUGCUGGUAUAAAUCAAGGUUUUUCUGCAGUCACCAGAGUUAGUGUUGUUCCAUUAAAAGUACCCCAAUACAUCAGUCCUCAUCUUUAAUUGAAUGCUGUAGAUUAUGACAACUAAGUCAUUGAAGCAAUUGCUUUUCUAGCUUUUGACCAUAUCAAAAUCUUUCUAGUCUCAAGUCAAAUACACACAGGCAACUAUUAAUUUUGCCUCUGUCAAGCCCUCGCCAAUAUAAUCAAAGAAGCCAGGCCAUAGCUUCAAACAGAGGUUAGUUAGAAUAAUUCCUUAAAACUACCAUCAUAACAUCUGUU